UGCGUAGGCGGAUAAAUAAGUCAGUGGUGAAAUCUUUCGGCUCAACCGGGAAACUGCCAUUGAUACUGUUUAUCUUGAGUUCGGUAGAGGUAGGCGGAAUGUGUAAUGUAGCGGUGAAAUGCUUAGAUAUUACACAGAACACCAAUUGCGUAGGCAGCUUACUAGACCGACACUGACGCUGAGGCACGAAAGCGUGGGUAGCGAACAGGAUUAGAUACCCUGGUAGUCC
This 229-nucleotide ribosomal RNA is filed under the name uncultured bacterium. RNAcentral describes it as "partial 16S ribosomal RNA". It matches the Rfam family "Bacterial small subunit ribosomal RNA", at positions 568 to 796 of the family's 1533-position model. The record is from RNAcentral.